This 487-nucleotide ribosomal RNA is filed under the name Staphylococcus pseudintermedius. RNAcentral describes it as "bacterial SSU rRNA". It matches the Rfam family "Bacterial small subunit ribosomal RNA", at positions 1 to 470 of the family's 1533-position model. Lineage: Bacteria; Bacillati; Bacillota; Bacilli; Caryophanales; Staphylococcaceae. The record is from RNAcentral.
UUUAUGGAGAGUUUGAUCCUGGCUCAGGAUGAACGCUGGCGGCGUGCCUAAUACAUGCAAGUCGAGCGAACAGAUAAGGAGCUUACUCCUUUGACGUUAGCGGCGGACGGGUGAGUAACACGUGGGUAACCUACCUAUAAGACUGGAAUAACUCCGGGAAACCGGGGCUAAUGCCGGAUAACAUGUUGAACCGCAUGGUUCUACAGUGAAAGACGGUCUUGCUGUCACUUAUAGAUGGACCCGCGCCGUAUUAGCUAGUUGGUGGGGUAACGGCCUACCAAGGCGACGAUACGUAGCCGACCUGAGAGGGUGAUCGGCCACACUGGAACUGAGACACGGUCCAGACUCCUACGGGAGGCAGCAGUAGGGAAUCUUCCGCAAUGGGCGAAAGCCUGACGGAGCAACGCCGCGUGAGUGAUGAAGGUCUUCGGAUCGUAAAGCUCUGUUGUUAGGGAAGAACAAAUGUGUAAGUAACUGUGCACAUCUU